UAAUGCAGGCGAUUUUUGACAAGUUAGGAUGUUGUCGAGCAGAUUUACCUCCAGGGGAUGAUUCAGAUUAGAUGUUACGAGAUUCCUCCUUUUGUCAUUUUGGCGCUUUCUGACAAAAAGGGGGAGAUGAUAUUAAGGUUGUGUCAUGAUGAUAUGAUGGCUCAUGAUGAUGAUGAUGUCUGAUGAGGAUGAGGAUGCUGUUUUUGAUUAGUUGUGUAAAUUUAGGCUAGAUGUUUGUUUAGGUGCUUGACUAUGAACUAUG
RNAcentral lists this long non-coding RNA (262 nucleotides) under Ananas comosus (pineapple). RNAcentral describes it as "long non-coding RNA (ACOM_LNC000770)". Lineage: Eukaryota; Viridiplantae; Streptophyta; Magnoliopsida; Poales; Bromeliaceae. The record is from RNAcentral.